CUGUUUGGCCUUGUAGUCUUCUCCUCCUCCAUCUUUGCAACACAAAAGAGUUCCAGAGCCAUCAGCGAAUAACAAAAGGUUACCUAUGGAAUAUGUAAUCCCAACAGCCCAAAGAUCUGUCACACCCUCCAAUCAUUCUUUUUCACCAAAGGGGAGCUGUAUAUUCCUGCUGCAUCUGGAGUGCAUUCAGCCCAUCUGGAGACAAUUAUUAUUUGAUGCCCAGUGGGAACCACUGUUAAGAAAAGAAACUGGAAGAAAUGAACUUCAAGAACAAGACUGAAAAGCAGAGGGUUGGCGAGAAAAGGGAAAACUUCAAUCAGAUCUAUAUAUCAAAGUGAACUUUUUACAACAUUCGAAUUCAAUGUAUGAACAACUACUUUACAACACAUCACUGUUGUUUAGCUUAAUUGAACAUUUUUGCUGUUUACUUAGAAUCAAGCACCACUGAACACAAGGGACUUCUGAAUCACUAUGUAUGGAGUUUAGAAAUAUUGGAGAAAUUAUUUGGUUCACAUUUCUAAGGGAAAUACCUAAUUUGCAUUUUGAAGGUAUAAUUGAACUGCAAAUAUCCUUCAGCUUACAUGAUUUUCUUAAGUUGACAAUGCAAAAUGUAUAUCUUAAAGAAAGUAUGUACAAAAAUCCAUAUUUUAGGAGAAAUGUGUUCAAUUUAAACACGGGCUUUCAUUUUAAAAACAGUGUGGAAUGGUCUUAAGACUAAAUAUGCAAACCUAAUCCAAACUAGAAAUAGAGUCAUCCACCUAUUCCCUAAUAUUUUGCCCUAUCAUUUUAAUACGAUUUGUAGACAAUGUUCUAGGAUUAUGUUUGGCAUUACAAAUGGAUAGAUUGACAGGAUGGCAUAAAAGAAUGAAUUUCUGAUGUUUCUAUAUAUUACUAUAUCUCACAAUGUCCUUCCCAGAGUAUCUUACAGUAGAUGAAAGACAGGCUGGAAAACCUCCACUCCAUUUCAAGUGUGAGGAGGCACCUAACCCAAAUCAGGUUUUUGGAAUCUGAAGGGCUAGAGAUUUUGUUGCUUUUCUAUAAUAACAUUCUUAAGAACUGGAUAAUAAUAAUAUCGCAUUACUACAGAACUUUGCUCUGAGAUCUGUGCCAUUAAAUGUAUAUAUACUGUUGUAAAAAUGAUUUCCCAUAAACAUUUUCAGUAUACCUGA
Python bivittatus (Burmese python) is the source of this 1169-nucleotide non-coding RNA. Lineage: Eukaryota; Metazoa; Chordata; Lepidosauria; Squamata; Pythonidae. The record is from RefSeq and is a predicted model, not a curated record.